RNAcentral lists this ribosomal RNA (253 nucleotides) under uncultured bacterium. RNAcentral describes it as "partial 16S ribosomal RNA". It matches the Rfam family "Bacterial small subunit ribosomal RNA", at positions 524 to 776 of the family's 1533-position model. The record is from RNAcentral.
GACAGAGGUGCCAAGCGUUAGGCGGAAUCACUGGGCUUAAAGCGUGUGUAGGCGGAAUUGUAAGUACCUUGUGAAAGCCCACGGCUCAACCGUGGAGGGUCAUUGGAAACUGGGGGACUUGAGUGCAGAAGAGGAGAGUGGAAUUCCACGUGUAGCGGUGAAAUGCGUAGAGAUGUGGAGGAACACCAGUGGCGAAGGCGACUCUCUGGUCUGUAACUGACGCUGAGGCGCGAAAGCGUGGGGAGCAAACAGG